This is a small nuclear RNA of Suncus etruscus (white-toothed pygmy shrew), 146 nucleotides long. RefSeq annotates it as U4 spliceosomal RNA. The transcript has a single exon. NCBI's taxonomy places the organism in Eukaryota, Metazoa, Chordata, Mammalia, Eulipotyphla, Soricidae. The record is from RefSeq and is a predicted model, not a curated record.
AACUUUGCAUAGUGGCAAUAUCGGAGUCAAUGAGGUUUAUCUGAGGCACAAUUAUUGCUAAUUGAAAACUUUUCCCCAAAGAUUUUCAGCUGUAAUGCAGACUGCAAACUAAAUGAAAUUGUCGGUGGAGUGUGGUCAGGAACAUU